UCAGGUGUUUGCCAGGGGUCGUCGCUUUGUUCUAAGUCCAGCAUAGAUAAUGGCUCUGGAUGUUGCCCAUAGCGGGUGAAAGGGCCGUUAGAAUGAACCUCAAAGCAUGUUGACGUACCCCAGUUGCAUUCACUAUGGAGUCGGAUAGUUUGAGAAUGCUGUCCAAAGUGGGUGGUAAAGUCCAUCCAAGGCUAAUUACUGGCACGAAUCCGAUAGUAGACAAGUACCGUGAGGGAAAGUUGAAAAGUACUCUGAAGAGAGAGUAAAUAGUACGUGAAGCCGCAUGUAUGGAAGCUGGUGGAGUCAAGCUGCAUGCUCUUGCUAAUAAACUAGUGACUGUUGUAUGCUUAUCCAGAUGGAUGUGCCGGUUGCCUUGAAUUUAGGCUGACGAAUUCUUUCGUUCCGCGAGCGUACUGGUUAGUGCGUGUGGGCUGGCCAUUUUAAUCUUGGUGUCACUGGUGUACUUGCCUUGUAGCAGACAUCACGAUAGGUAUUUAUGUUGGCAUUUGGUAGUACAAACCAUCAGUUUACGGGUUUCAAAUUCGUAUCUGUUGGGAUGGCAGGUUGCCUGUUUAUUUGCCUCCUGUGAGUGUAUGGGUUUUUCUUGGUUGUGGCCGGCCGUCUACCAUU
RNAcentral lists this ribosomal RNA (630 nucleotides) under Protolamellodiscus senilobatus. RNAcentral's name for it is "partial large subunit ribosomal RNA". It matches the Rfam family "Eukaryotic large subunit ribosomal RNA", at positions 151 to 634 of the family's 3401-position model. The record is from RNAcentral. Lineage: Eukaryota; Metazoa; Platyhelminthes; Monogenea; Dactylogyridea; Diplectanidae.